This 475-nucleotide long non-coding RNA is filed under the name Capra hircus (goat). RNAcentral describes it as "lncRNA (ENSCHIG00000004006.1)". Lineage: Eukaryota; Metazoa; Chordata; Mammalia; Artiodactyla; Bovidae. The record is from RNAcentral.
CCUUCUUUCCAGCCAUCUCCCCUCCUCAGAACAGCCCUCGUCCCCUGAAAGGGCAGUCUGACUCAGCCCCAGCGGCCGCCCCGCCCCUCCUACAGGUCCUCCCUUUGCCCUUGAAAUGGAAGACAAGGCAGCAAGGAUCCGGCCGCACCUCACGCAGUGCCCAGCCUGCUGGCAGCCAGAGCCCUGCAGAGCAGGACAGGCAGAACUACCACGCCCCACAGAGGGAAGACUAGCAUCCUUCAUUCCAGACAAAAGGAACUACAGAAACUUAUCAGACCACCUGAGAGCAAAGAGAUUCCUGUGUGAAAACGUGUUAGUCGCUUCAGCUGUGCCCGAUUCCUUGUGACCCCACGGACUUCAUACCGAAUUAUAAUUUGUACAUUCUUUCAUGAAAUAAAAUUAUGCGUCCAAUUUUCUGAUAGUGAUUAUAAAUAAAUGCUAAAAUUUAUAAAAUAACUUUUAGAAAAGACCUCUU